RNAcentral lists this ribosomal RNA (753 nucleotides) under uncultured archaeon. Its description in RNAcentral is "bacterial SSU rRNA". It matches the Rfam family "Archaeal small subunit ribosomal RNA", at positions 102 to 859 of the family's 1478-position model. The record is from RNAcentral.
AGUCAACAUGCCCAGGGGACGUGGAUAACCUCGGGAAACUGAGGAUAAACCACGAUAGGUCAUAAUAUCUGGAAUGAUUUAUGGCUAAAAUCUACAUGGCCUCUGGAUUGGACUGCGGCCGAUCAGGCUGUUGGUGAGGUAAUGGCCCACCAAACCUAAAACCGGUACGGGCUCUGAGAGGAGAAGCCCGGAGAUGGGCACUGAGACAAGGGCCCAGGCCCUAUGGGGCGCAGCAGGCGCGAAAACUCUGCAAUAAGCGAAAGCUUGACAGGGUUAUUCUGAGUGAUUUCCGCUAAGGAAAUCUUUUGGCACCUCUAAAAAUGGUGCAGAAUAAGGGGUGGGCAAGCCUGGUGUCAGCCGCCGCGGUAAUACCAGCACCCCGAGUGGUCGGGACGAUUAUUGGGCCUAAAGCAUCCGUAGCCGGUUCUACAAGUCUUCCGUUAAAUCCAUCUGCUUAACAGAUGGGCUGCGGAGGAUACUAUGGAGCUAGGAGGCGGGAGAGGCAAGCGGUACUUAGUGGGUAGGGGUAAAAUCCGUUGAUCCACUGAAGACCACCAGUGGCGAAGGCGGCUUGCCAGAACGCGCUCGACGGUGAGGGAUGAAAGCUGGGGGAGCAAACCGGAUUAGAUACCCGGGUAGUCCCAGCUGUAAACGAUGCAGACUCGGUGAUGAAUAGGCUUCGUGCCUUUUCAGUGCCGCAGGGAAGCCGUUAAGUCUGCCGCCUGGGAGUACGGUCGCAAGACUGAAACUUAA